RNAcentral lists this ribosomal RNA (253 nucleotides) under uncultured bacterium. RNAcentral's name for it is "partial 16S ribosomal RNA". It matches the Rfam family "Bacterial small subunit ribosomal RNA", at positions 524 to 776 of the family's 1533-position model. The record is from RNAcentral.
UACGUAGGCAGCAAGCGUUAUUCGGAGUUACUGGGCGUAAAGAGUGUGUAGGCGGUUUUCUAAGUUUGGUGUGAAAUCUCCCGGCUUAACUGGGAGGGUGCGCCGAAGACUGGAAGGCUUGAGUAUGGGAGAGGAAAGCGGAAUUCCUGGUGUAGCGGUGAAAUGCGUAGAUAUCAGGAGGAACACCUGUGGUGUAGACGGCUUUCUGGACCAUCACUGACGCUGAGACACGAAAGCGUGGGUAGCAAACAGG